This 17033-nucleotide long non-coding RNA is filed under the name Hordeum vulgare. Its description in RNAcentral is "long non-coding RNA (HVUL_LNC000208)". Lineage: Eukaryota; Viridiplantae; Streptophyta; Magnoliopsida; Poales; Poaceae. The record is from RNAcentral.
UCCUCAGCUCCUCGCCUCGCCCGCGCCAACCCCGUCGCUGGCCACCAAGGGCUUGGUCCCCCCCGUUGCGCGCCUCCGCCGCCGACGACAGCCCCCUUGCGCGCGUCCAUACGGCAUUUCGGCGGCUCCUCCUGGCCUCGCCGCCUGCUCUCACUAAGCGUCGCCAAGGUCUGGUCACCCACGUCCCGCGCCGCCGCCAAGGUCUGUCGCGCGCGGGCAUCCUGCAUUUCGGAUCAUCAUCUACAUACUCGUCGCGGACGUUCCUGGAGGCGAUAUGGUCGGUGGAAGAGGCCCCAACAGAUCACAAGGGCUGGGGAGCGGGGACGACGACGAGAGGAGGAGGAGAGGGGGGAGGGGGGAGAAGAACAGGGGUUCCCAUUCCCAAGCCGGUGCAGCCGUGGCCUCCUCCACCAGCCUCGAGAAUAAGGUCACUUUCAAGAGGACGACACCACUUGUGGUUCCUGGAGAAGCAGCAGCAAGCGUAUGCCCGCUUCAUCUCAUUGCAUUUGCAUACAUGCAUUGUGGAUUUCAGUGCAAAUCAUGUUGCCUGUUGCAUGUACAAUUUGGCAUACAUUGGUACAUGCUCAUCACUUACUGAUUAUUAUUGUUUUGCCUUUUCUCCAUAUGAGGUUGGUUCCAUUGCAUGGGCAUAUUAAAUGGCUUAUCAACCAAACUUACGAGCAUGUGUUCUUAGAUUCCUGUAGCUAACCUCUCGUCAGAGGUGCAUAGAGUAAGUACUGAUGGUAUUCUAUUUGGGCCCCAACAUUUUCCAUAUAUGCUCUACCAAAUCAAAUUUUAGUGCCUUUAUAAGUCACGCGAUCCUGGAUUCGUGCAUCCUUUGUAGCACGUGUGCGAAUACCGGUAUAUUACCAUGAGGGAAUGAUCUUGUAUUCUUGCAUCCUUUGUAGCACGUGUGCGAAUACCGGUAUAUCACCAUGAGGGAAUGAUCCUGGAUUCUUGCAUCCUUUGUAGCACGUGGGUGAAUACCGGUAUAUCACCAUGAGCGAAUGAUCCUGGAUUCUUGCAUCCUUUGUAGCAAUGGGCGAAUACCGGUAUAUCACCAUGAGGGAACACUACUAAGGCUAGGACGAUGGAUGUGCCCGGAUUCAAAAUCAGAUUAUUAGCCGCUUCUUCUUUUCAUCCUCAACUGCCAUAUUGUGAAGUAUCAUCAGGGUCAUCCGGUGGAUAGGCUGCAACAUGUAACAAACAAGACAACAAUUCUACACAUCAGCAUAAUAUCGAACCGAAAAAUACUUUUUCUCUAAGUUGUUGAGCUUGAAAAGUCUCCUAGUAUCUAUUUAUGAGGUGAUAACUUUGCUGAGUGGAAGAUUCAUGCAGCUUAUUCUGUGGCUCAGUUUCAUGUACAAUGGGUUUAAUGCCAUGAGAAUAUAUCCAAUGUGCAAUAUUAUGCUAAAAAGUUGCCUUAGAAAUCACACUGGUACAUCUGUAAACUAUGCACAGUUAAAUCACACUGGUACACUGAUUUCACGGUUAGACUGUUGUGCAUGAUCGGCACCCCCUGCGUCAAGGAUGAGCGGUCCGUGCAGACCCUCAAGCCUACAAUUAAUGCUAACAGAAUGUGGCCAUGGGUAGUUAUUUGUUAUGGUUGGCUAUGGCUUGUUUAUGAGAGUGAUCAUCUUAUUAAUGCUGAGAAAUAUGAUUAUCUAUGUCUGCACAUUUUAAUCAUUACUUAUUCAUUUCCCUGACUGGGUUCAAUUUGUUGUCAACAGAAUUAUUCUGUGCUGAAUCUAGACGACGCUGCCACCGCACAUUAUACCUGGCGCAUGACAGUCUUCAGGUAUCGUCUCUGGUGUUUCAAUACCACAGACGAACGGUUCUACUUCGGCCACAAAGAGCGGCAGAGCUGCAAGCUGCCGAAGUCAGGGCAUUUUCUGGUGUACGUCCAUUACCAUGGGAACUGGAUGUGCCUGGUAAUUGACUGCCCAACAGGUUAUCUCACAGGAUAUAUAACAAGGAGCUUACCCAAAGACAAGAAAAUCCAGGAAAACAGAACAGAAAUUUCUGAAGGCUUGUCCAAGGCACGCAAGAAGGAGAUUAGAAGUCAAUUGCCUAUGUACAUUGAAGAUGCUAAAAUGCUACCUUGGAAAGGAUCUUAUCUCUAUGCUGCCGAAUGUCUUCUUGGCACCAUGGGUUUACAGAACUCUUUCAAGACUAUGUAUAAACAUCUUGAAGGCAUGCAAAUAUUUACGGUAGACGAAAUCCGAACAGCCGGAGAGCAUUUCAUUGUCCAUAUUCCUGAAGCCAGCAGAUCUGAUGUGCUCUUUAACAAGAUUGACACUAAUUUCAUAGUUGGUGUCAACAAGAUGGGUGCAUCACUUCUUGGUGAUGCCCAAAAUUGGGCCGGUCAUACAGAUGAUGCAUUUGACAUAAUGGUGGAUACAAGUGCCAGCAAAUGGGACCGGAAAGCUCUGAAAAAACAUGGGAAGUCAACAGAGGAUGAGUCAGAAGGUGUUGAAGAAAAAGUUUUUGGGCCAGAAGUUGAACAUCAAUUACUGAUUAUUGAGGAUCAAAGGUUGUACCACAGGAAAAAUCCAGGUAGUCGCAGAUUUUGUUUGAAAGAUUUACCCGUACAUCUUGGUCUAAAGGUUUUACACAUGUCCUGAUCAAACCUUUUUUGAAGUUCCAAAGAGCGGUCAAUGAAAAUACAACAUCAGAGACCAACAAAGGCAAUGAAAGCAUGGCUGAUGAAAACACAGAAUAUUUCUUUGAUAAUCCCAAUGCCAAUAGCCCGGAUCCCCAACGAUUCACAGAUGGCUGCAAUGUCUCAGGUGAUGUCCUGUUACCCAAGCAUGAAAAAGCUGAAGUAAACAAUGGUUCCCCACCACCUAUUAGCUUUGAGAUUGCUAUGGAGAAUUCUGUUACUCAGGUGAAUUUCAGGACCAACAUUAUAGACAAUGCUCAGCCAACUAGUUCCCAGGUCAUUAUAAGAGAGCUUGAUGAUGAUAAUGCUCUGACAGACUCUACUGUUACUCUGAAGCCAGUUUCAACGGAACUGAACUCUGCUGUUCCUACCCCUGAUCAAGAGCAGUCUGAACCUCUAGCUUUGGCACCCAAUCCUAUCUCAAAUGUUCUGGGCCAGGAUUCAGGUAGCAGCUCCAUCACUAUUUCUGGAAUUGGGCUGGGUCAAACUGCCUUGCUUGAUACAGCUGGAACUAAUGGGCCACAAGCUGUGCCAGAAAGCCCAGGCCCCCAUAACUACCUUGGAGGUCAGACACAACAACCACUCCAAUAAAUACAAUGGCUUCGAAGUUCCACAGAACUCUGACACCCGUGCCACACAGUCUAAAGUGAAGCCACCGCUAGUACCCUCUGCAGUACCCACGGCUAGUACCCUCUGAUAGCUUGGCCGCCUCGAUGGACCUUUGGCUCUACCCAGGUUGCAAUACCAGCUCCUGCUUCGAUCCCUGUGAUGCAGAACAUUAGUGUCUCAUGCUGUGCUGUUCCACCGGAAGAAUUAUCUGAAGAACCUCUCCUAGCUGAGUCCAGCAUGGACGUCCCCCCAGCAAGCAACGAUGAGGGCCCAUCCUCCUCCCACUUUUAAUUCUGCUUUAUCAUAAUGCCUCUUUUGCGUGGUUGGAAUGUCCUUUGCUGGAACGUUCGUGGCUUAAAUUCGGAUGAUAAACAACUUGCUUUAUCCAAUGCUAUCGCUAUUAGUGGGUGCGCGAUCGUUUGCCUGCAAGAGACAAAAAAAACUUAUCUUGCGUUUAUUAAAUCUUGCGGCCCUAAACGUUUUGAUAAGUUUGUGUUUGUUCCUUCUCGUGGUGCUUCGGGUGGAAUUCUUACUAUAUGGAAUACCUUGGUUUUCUCGGGAGAAGUACUAUACUCUGCUGAUUUUGCACAGGACAUCCGCUUUACAAACAACACAAUCUGCUCACACUUGGGACAGUACUGGACAUAUAUGGCCCCUGCACCGGUGACGACCGUAUAACCUACACCACUUGGCUAUAUGACCUUAACAUACACAAUGAUGAAUAUUGGCUCUUAGCCUCUUACUUGACGAUUUCAAUUAUAUCUGAGUCCCGGACAAUCGUAACAAACCUGAUGGCAAUGCAAAUGAAAUGUUCACCUUCAAUAACCAAUCAAAGGGCGGGCUUACACAUGGAGCAAUAUGCAGCAAGACCCGUUAGUCGAGCAAUUGGACUGGUUUCUCACGUCGCUUCAUUGGACAAAUGCUUACCCCAAAACUAUGGUCAAACCAUUGGGAAAACCAGUUUCCGACCACAUUCCUUGCAUGGUGAAUAUUGAAACCACCAUCCCACGCAGUAAGAUUUUCAGAUUUGAAUCAUUUUGGGUUCUUCACCCAGGGUUUAUGGAUGUGGUGCAAACUGCUUGGUCAAAACCGGUCCACGCAACUAAUGCCGCUACAUCCCUCAGCCGUAGAUUCAAGACCAUCAGCAGAAAAGACUUUAAAACACCAUAAAACUUCAUCUUUAUGUUUCAUAUAAGAUAGACCCAAGUCGUAACAAAGUAUUUCAAGCCACUGAUAGAUAACACUGGACAUGUCCAUACAUCAGAGUAGAUCAACACAAAAUGGGAUAUGCUCCUGACCCCCUUACUCGCAUAUGAGUUUCUGGUAGUUUAGCAAACUCACACGCAUCACAUUUCAGCUUGCUCUCGUCCAUACCACUCAUUAUAUCAUAAAAUACUAGAUAUAUUUUGUCAAAAGACGCGUCCCAUCCUACAGUGAUGGAUCAGUGCUCUAGUCUCCUUAUUCUCAGGAACUGCAGCUAGCAUGUGCAAUUCCUGCUUGUCCGGCAUAUUGCGGUCCAUGUACCACAGCCGCCUACAUCUUGUUCCAGUCACAAGACUCCUUCCCGUUAAUCUCUCCAGGAUCAAGAACACGAAACCUUGUCGAUAACUAUUCGGCAAUCUAUUUGGUCAACUGAAGCACUCGAGGACACUAAUUUCACAGGAAAAGCCGGCACAUGCAACACUAAGGAUAAUUCAAUACUAGGCAUGCAGUUGACUACCCCAAUACCUGUGAUGGGUUGGACUAUGCCAUCUGGUGUGAAUGUUUUUCUGAUGUGCGAGAGAGUGUGGAACAUAAGAUUUGAACUUAUUAAAUUCUCCAGCAACAUGUUGUGAUGCUCCAGACUCAAGCACCCAUUCAGAGUUUAUUUAAUGGGACGCAAUUGAUGCGUGUUUUACCUUCAUUUGUAUGAACAAAGUUGGCAUAACUGGUAGCAGUCUCCUGUCCUCCUACAGGCUGUUUCCCUUCAGUUGAAGCAACUACAUUUGCAUUGGGAGCAUUUCAAUGAGGAGCAUUCCAAGAACUACCACUUCCAUUCCCACCAUGACUCUCAUCCCAACCAGCUUGACUCCUACUGCUACCACUACACCCUCGACCUCUGACUUUUCUAGGCCAGUACAGAAAAGGCUGAUAUGCCCUGGUUGAUCACAAUUGUGAGUUGUGACACACCUCUGGCUGGUUAGUCACCCUGCAAGCAAAUUCAUUUCCAUCUUCUUGACUGCAGACAUACCUCUUCUUGGGACAUCGCAGCAAUGGCCUCAUCAAGCCGGAACAAGCGUCAACUGAUGUAGCAUUGCAAUAUACCUACUCUCUUUUUUUUGCGGGUGCAAUAUACCUACUCUCAAAAGAUUAAUCUAGGCCCUGGAGAAACUGCACCACACUCCUGUGCUCAACCCACCUCUUGGCAAUCUCCAUGGGCUCUGCAUGUGGAAUCUCAAGGGGAUCACACUGAUUCAGAUCUGCCCAACAAUGUUGCAACUCAGCCUGGACAGAACGAGCGGGCUUUUGGGCCCGCUCGUGGCCCAUUCAGGACCGGACCGUGCGGUCCAGGACCGGUAGGGAAAUAAGGUCGGUCCGGGCUAUGAUAUUCGGCCCGAAAAUAUGUCGGUCCGGUCCGGUCUUUAACCGAGCCGCUCGGUCGGACCGAGAAAUCGCAGUCUUCGCCGCGGUCGUUUCUCGUCUUCGUGGCCACCGACAGCCUACCACUUUGUCCCCGAGCUUCCCCUCUCCUUCCUUCCUCUUCUUCCCGUGAUGCGCAUCUUCUUGACGUCGGUCGCCAUCGUUGUCCUGCAUACACGUCGAUCUGGAGUUCUCGAACAUGGCCUCGACCCCAACCGUGGCCCCUAUUCCUGCGGGUAUUGCGGUUGCAUGAGCUGAAAUCGUGGCAUGACAGGAGCUGCAGAUCAAGACGUUUUUCUUAUAACUGAAAGGAACGAAAGAACAGCCAAGAACGAGUAUUGCGGCAGUGCCAUCGCAAGUUCACCCGUACGCAGCUAUGUUGCCGCUGCAUGAGCUGGAUUCGUGCCAAGCCACGAUCUCCCACAGCGGCUGAUCUAACUAACUUGAAACUAAGUCAAGAGGUGGACAUGCACAUGUGUUGCUUGAUGAGCGCGAAGACUGUCAGUUAAAUAGGUGCUGUCAAAUUUUCAGUAAAUUCAGUUUCAUCAGAUUCAGAAAAUUUAGUCCGUCAGUUUCAUCAAAGAUUCAGCUGUCAGUUUAUUUGCAUGUGACUAAGAAAACGCAGCUAACUAGGACCUAGUCUGCAGCUAAAUAAGACCUAAACUGCAGCUGGAAAAAGUUGUGGCAUCGAUCCACACGGUCCUCUAAAGCUUGACCGAGCCAGCUUCAUUUCGGCAUCCUUCCUCUUCUUCUCCGGCGACGAAGCACGGCAACGCCGACGAGCUCCGAUUCAGAAAAGCGGGCAAAUUUACAAGCAUUUAAAAGAAAAGAGACCGAAUUCGAACAAACAUAUAUCCAUUACAGAAAAUAUCAUACGUUCGAUUACAAGGGCUCGUCGGAGACGAUUACACCCUCCCCGAUUACACGGGCUAGCUCCUAACCUCAGCCACCUAAGCUCCUACCUCACCAUCUCCAAAAGUGGGCGCUCACCAGAGCCCCAGCGGUGCGGCCCCGACGUUGCGGCGACGCCGGUCAGUCGGAGUCGGAGUCGGAGGCGCCCCACCCCCUGUCGGCGCGGGAUGCCUCGAUGGCUUGGCGGAGGCGGAUCUCGUCAAGCUCCUCUUCCCUCUACCGGCACGCGGCGACCUGCUGGGCCUCUUCCUUGGUGCGCUCCAUCACCUCGGCCAUGACGUCCUCGAGCUCGUCGCCGUUGACGUAGCCCUCCGACAGAAAGCCCGGCGGCAGCAGCGCGGGUGCAAUGGCGGAGGAGCCCGCGGCAGAGGAGCGUGCCGCUUCCCCCAUCUGGCGGGGGCGGUCGUACUCCUCCACCUCGCGUCGGGCGAAGGCACGCGGUGGCGCGAGCCCCCAGUUGGUGUACCUUCGGGCGCCGCGCUUCCGAGCAGCGCCGGAAGCAACCCGCGCCGCCCAAUCGCGCUCAGACUCCGGGGUUUCAGGCGCCGGCCGCUUCGGCCUCCGGUUUCCGCCGCCGGAAUGGCCACCGUGCGAGCUGGAAGAUCCUGGCCUCCCCAUGAUCCGUGCGGCGGCGAGGUUGGAAUGCGUGGUUUUGGUGGGGUUCGCCGGCGGUGAGGGGCGAGAGGAGCUAGAGCGGCGCAGAUCUGGAAAAAGCUAGGGCACGACACCUCUCACCAUAGAAAUAGCUCCGAUGGGACACUGAUGUGACGCCCGGUGACUUCCGUGGCCCACGGGUCAGUUUAACCGCUCGGUCAGAUUGACCGGUCAGCCCGAGCGCCCUGCUCUGGUUCCUUCCACCGAGGCGCUGCAGGUCCGCUCCAGAUCGGCUGCUGCCCGUCCCGAUCUAGUCCCGCGAGGCUCCAGGCCAAGGCGCUGCCCGUCCCGAUCCAGUCCCGCGAGGCUCUGGGCCGAGGCGCUGCCCGUCCUGAUCCAGUCCCACGAGGCUCCCAGCCGAGGCGCUGCCCGUCCCGAUCCAGUUCCGCGAGGCUCCAGGCCGAGGCGCUGCCCGUCCCGCUCCAGUGAUCCCGCGAGGCUCCAGGCUACAGAUCGAGCCCUCCCCUGUUACAGAUCACGCCCUCCCUCCUGCUACAGAUCGAUCCAGCCCGUCCUCAACGCUUUUCCUGCUGCUGCUGCUUCCCGCGCCCCUGCUCGAGGACGCCAGCUCGACUCCCUCCGGUCCCGCUCGAGGCAGGAGGCAGCUCUGCUCCUGAUCGUCAGAUCCUGCCGGCCCUCUCUGAUCUGUAGCUGUCGAGAGAUCUAAAAAAAAGUCUACUGCAUCGGGCUAUGUUGCUGUCCCUCGUUGUUCGGUGAUCUUCGAUGGUAGUAACUACACUGAGUUCAUUGGCUUUAUGCGCAUUCACAUGCGUGCCAUCCGUCUCUGGGGUGUUCUUUCUCGCGAGGUCUGCUGUCCGUCACGUCCGGUUCCUCCUGUGGCUCCCACUCCGCCGAUCCCUCCGGCUUUUCCUGCGGAUGCUCCUCAGACUACGAAGGAUGCAGCUAAGGUUGCUGAUGAGGCUGCUAUCCGUGCUUAUAUGCGAAGGUCUUGGCUUACGAGGAGGCUCUUUAGGUGUAUCACGGUGCUCUGUCCGCAUACACCCAGUGGCUUGAUGAUGAUGCUCGUGCUGCAGCUGUUCUCACUGCUAGUGUUCUGCCUCAGUUUGCCUCUGAGUUUUUGGGCCUUCCUACUGCCUUUGAGAUGUGGACUCGCCUUCGUCAGCGCUAUGCGCCCUCUGGUGAUGCCUUAUACCUCUCCGUGGUUCGUCAGGAGCAUGCUCUUCAGCAGGGUGACUCUACUGUUGAUGACUUCUAUGCACAGAGUUCUGCUAUCUGGCGCCAGCUCGAUUCUCUCCGCACUGCUGGUUGUCGUACUUGCCCCUGUUGCCACGCUUUCCAGACCAACUUGGAGUUUCAUCGCGUCUACGAGUUCCUGUCUCGGCUCCAUAAGGAGUUUGAGCCCCGGCGUGCUCAGUUGUUUGCUCGUGGCUGUAUUUCUCGCAUGGAGGCGCUUUCUGAGAUUCGUGCUGAGGAGACUCGCUUACGUGGUGCUGGUUUGCUGGAGGUUCCCUCGGUGCUCGCUGCUCGGGCUACUUCUACACCCCCUGCUACACCGACCCCUUCUCACUCGAGUGCUCCGCCGCUCUUGCCCACUCCUUCUGGAGGCUCAGGUCGCCCCCGUCCACAUUGUGGCUACUGCAACAAUGAUGGUCAUAUUGAGUCCCACUGCUACAUGAAGAAGAAACACUUGCGCCAGGCGCAAUCAUCAUCUACAGAGACUUCGUCAUCUACCUCGACAACUUCAGCCAUUGCUUUGAUUGAGCAGGAUAUUCUACGACUUAAGCGUCUGCUCGCUGCUUCAGGUUCUUCCUCGACGGGUACUGCUCGUAUGUGACUCAGGCUUCCCGCACUGAGCAACCACCUUCUACACAGUCAGGACCGUCUCACGCACAUUCUAGUUGGAGUUGGCCUUGGCCGCCAUGAUAUUAUUCUUUUUCUCUUCUGCUGCCAUCAUCCCUAAUCUAGUGUGUGUUUUCUAGUCUUCCUUGUUUUCCGCUGCGUCCACCAAAUCCGUUGAUAUUUUGUGUUUUCUCAUGCCAUGCGAGUCCACCAUACCUUAGUCCGUCGGCCUUUUCUUUGGUCCUGAUCCUUUCUAUGCAACUUUUGUGGCCUAUUUGCCCUUUUUGUUUUCUAUAGGAUUUUCUGGACUUCUUUUGCAUUGUCGAUCUACGUCCAUCGUGCCUUAUCCGCCAAGCUUCUUUCGCCGACGGUUGUUGUGGACUAUGAUUUUUUGCACAAUGCUUUAUUCUCUUGAUGUGUCAUCUUCUUUUGACAACCCAUCUUCUCUUGAUACUUAUCUUGUAUCUUCAAGUGAUGCGGUGUCUACCUUUGAUGUGCCAUCUCUUCGUUAUCUCCUUCGGCGACUCGACAAGUUUUGAAGACUCUUCAUGCUUCGACGACACUCUCAAGACGCGGAUUUGGAUUAUCAUUGUUUUUUUUAGUAUUACACUUCUUCAAAUGCAAUGCUAUUGCAUACGCUUUGCAUUUGAGGGGGGUGUUAGAAAGUAUUAGUAUUAGUCUAGGAGUCCUUAUUAGUCUAUUAGUAUUAGUCUAGGAGUCCUUAUUAGUCUAUCUUUACUUUCCUUGCAUCUCAAGUCUUGUGUAAUAUAUAUAUGCCCCUUGGGCCUUCAAUAAACAUAAGUUGCUUUCCUAACAAAAAUUAUGUCUCCGUCACUUACGAUAACCAGAGGUAAACCAUGUAACUUGACAAUGUUGUUGAGGAAAACCUUGGCUACUGAGGCAACGGUGAAUGGGUGUUUUAAUGGUAAGAAGUGACUCACUUUAGUGAAACGGUCAACCACCACCAGAAUGGCUGAGUAUCCAUCAGACUUGGGCAAGCCUUCAAUGAAAUCCAUGCUCAUCUCCUGCCAAGGACUGUCAGGUAUGGGCAGUGGUUGAAACAUACCUGGUUUUUGUGCAUAGUUCAUGUUUAGCCUGUUGGCAGAUACCACACUGUUUGAAAAACAAAUCCACUACUGACUUCAAACCUUGCCAACUGAACAAUUGCUUAACUGUGUGAUAGGUGGAUAAAAUGCCUGGGUGUCCACCAAUGGAACUGUCAUGAAAAGAUUGAAUGAGCUUGGUUUGAAGUCCACUAUUUGCUCCUACCCAUAUCUUGUCCUCAUGUUUGAUGAGUCCCUCCUAGAGUUGGAACCCAGGGCAAGCAUUGGCAUCCAAGGCCAUUUUCUGCAACAUGUUCUGAGCCAAAGGAUCCACUGUGUAGGAGUUCAAAAUCUCUUGAAGCCAGAGUGGUCUACUUGUUGAUAUGGACUGAGAAACAAAAAGGUGAGCCACCCUAGAUAAAUCAUGUGCUACUGUAUUCUCCACACCUUUCUUGUACUAAAUAGUAAAUUGCAGUCCCACUAGUUUUGUCAUGGCUUUUCUCUGAAGAUCUGAAGUUAAAUGUUGAUCCCCUAGAUGACACAAACUCUGAUGAUCUGUUUUGAUGAUAAAAGGUGCUCUGGAUAAAUAAGAUCUCCAUUUCUCCACUGCCAUCAUAAUAGCCAAAAACUCCUUUUCAUAGAUGGAAGUUUUUUGACUAGCCGCUCCUAAUGCUUUGCUGUAGUGAGCAAUAGGGUGUCCUUCCUGAGACAACAUAGCUCCUACUCCAGGCAUGAGUUUCCACUACAAAAGUUUUCUCAAAAUUUGGUAGAGCUAGCACAGAAGUGUUGGCCAUAGCUUGUUUAAGGCUGUGAAAAGCUUGUUGGGCAGGUUCAGACCAUACAAAGGCUUGUUUAUUGAGCAGAGGAGUCAGAGGUUUAGCUAGUAGCCCAUAGUUUUAAACAAACUUCCUGUAAUAUCCAGUGACCCUAGGAAACCCCUCAACUCAGUAAUUGUUGUAGGAACAUGCCAGUUCAACAUAGCUUCAGUCUUAGCAGGGUUAGUUGCCACCCCUUUGUUAGAAAUAAUGUGGCCCAGAUAAUCCAUGGAUUGCUGGGCAAAAGCACACUUGCUUUCCUUGACAAAUAACCGAUGCUCCUUUAGGAUGUCAAACACAGACUGCAGAUGAUCAAGGUGUUCCCAAAAGUUUGACUCAAAACCAGUAUGUCAUCCAUGAAAACCAAAACAUAUUUUUCUCUUAGGGCCUGCAAAUGCAAAAUUCAUGACACAAUGAAAUGUUCCUGGAGCUGUAGCCAAACCAAAAGAAACCACUCUAAACUGAAAUUGUCCAUGAUGUGUUUUAAAAGCAGCCUUGAACUCAUCCUCUUCCUUCAUUCUAAUUUGAUGGUACCCAGCUCUAAGGUCCAGCUUGGAAAACCACUUAGUGCCCCCUAAUUCAUCCAGCAAUUCAUCAACUACUGGUAGAGGAAAUUUAUUCUUGAUGGUUAAGGCAUUUAGCCUUCUGUAGUCCACAUAGAACCUCCAUGUACCAUCUUUUUUCUUGACCAAGAGAACAGGAGAUGCAAAGGGACUUAUGUUGGGUGUGAUCAAACCAGACUUCAACAUCUUUGUCACUUGUCUUUCAAUUUCAUCCUUUUGUAGUGGAGAAUAUCUAUAGGGCCUGCAGUUCACAGGUACAGCAUCAGGGACCAGAUGGAUAGAGUGAUCCAAAGCUCUAUGAGGAGGUAGUGUUUUAGGCUCUUGAAACACUGUUUGAUUCUUGGCUAACAACUAUUGAACUGCAGGAGGUACUUCCACAGAUGGUGUCAUCACAAUGAGAUUCAAAAUAGCUGUAGCCCAUACAUCAUUGCCCUUCUCCCAUUUAAUGAGUUGUUCAGCAGAUAUCUCUUUGAGUUGGUCUUGUUGCACUCGUAUAACUCCCUGCAGUCUUAUCUCUUGACCUUCAUGUUGAAAUUGUAUCCAUCUUUCAGCCCGGUGACAUUUCAUCAUUCCCCACUGUUCCAACAAGUCCAUCCCACAGAAUAAUGUCAUGUCCACCCAAAGGAAACACUUUCAUGGAAUUGCUGAAACUAUGCCCAUGUAUCCACCAGGUCAACUGAGGCACUAUGUCAGUAUAUAUAGGACACCGACUCCCCAUUUGUCACUCUAACCUGGAGAGGCAUUGGCAGUUUUUUCAGUUUUUACCGCUACCCUAUUUAGCAAGGCUUGAUCCACAAAAGUGUGUGUGCUCCCAAAUCUACCACUAUGAGAACCACCUGAUUUCCUACCAAUGCUCUCAAGUGAAUUAUUUUAGGAUGAGCUGCCCCUGACAAUGCAGUAGUAGAGAUAGUUGCACAUUCCUCAGAAUUGUCUAUGACUAGAGCAUCCAGCACUGCAUCAGAAAUGAUCUCAUGAGGAUCCACCAAGUCUGCAGCCUUUAGUUGUCCCCCAGGUACAGCAGCCUGAUUACAAGUGUGGCCUGGUAUGAAUUUCUCCCCACACUUGUAGCAUAAACCAUUGGCACGUCUGUACUCUUUCAACUGUUUAGCUUUCCAUAGUUCUCCUAUAGGCAAGGUACCCUUGUUCUCAAACCUACUCAAAGUAGCUUUUCCAUAAUAAGUCUUUAGUUGUUUCUGUUUCAGCAUCAACCCUUCCUGUACAGAGGCAUACAUUGCCGCCAGUUGUACUGUAGUAGGCAUCUAAAGCUCCACCACAUUCCUCAACUCUUCUUUUAAAGCCAUGGUAAAUCUGGUUACCAGAAAUGUAUCACUAAAAACUGGUUCAUAUAACUUCACAUGAUAGACUAGCAGCAGUAAUUGUUGUUUGUACAUUUCUACACUGUCCACCUCUUUCAGUGAAAGUAACUCUUUCAUCUUCUGCCUGUACACAUUCACAUCAAAUUCCCGUAUAACUGCUGCAGAGAACCUUUUCCAAGAGUGAACUUCACCAGACUGUUUAACUAAUUGGUACCAGUGAGCAGCAUUAUCAGACAAAUAUAGAGAUGCAGAAGUAACUUCGAAAUUGUCAGGAAUGUUAUACAACUGGAAAAAUGCCUCACACUUGUCCAACCAAAUCCUGACCUCAGUACCAUCAAACUUGGAAAAUCCAUUUUAGGCAUCCAGCCCCGCUUGGUUCCUGAUUCCUCAUUCCUCUACUGUAGACUGCAUUCUGUGUUCAGGAUUCGGCCCACGCACCUGUACUAGGGGAUAUCGAAUCGGAGGUGGCCUUUGCGUGAGCAGCACUGGUGUCGUUCCCAAUAUCCCAUCUGAAACCUCGGAUGCGGUUGGUGAUGAACUCUCCCUGUUGCCUGGUCCUGCGGCUGCUUCCCACAAUGCGCGGAGAACGUCUGUCCCUGUUGUGCCCUACCGAUAGCAUCAUAGGAGAGGUCAACCUUCAUGUGUACCUGAUCCAGACGGGCCGCUUGCUUGGUCAGCUUGACGUCGAGAGCCUCCAGCUGAGCGCAAAUUCCGUCAACCACAUCUAGUUUGCUCUGCGCCGUGCGGAUGUCGGCUGCAUUUGCUUGGCUAGGCAACGCGUCUGCGGGUUCGGCUUGAACGUCGUCGUCGGCGGCGUGCUUGUUCCCCAAAUCAACCCACCUCAGGUCCGGAUUUACACGGAUCGAACCGGUGAUCCAUCACCUUCGCGUCGGAUUUGCUGGGUACGAUUCGGGAAAAAAAACGUGGCGCCGAGGACCGAAGGCUCUUAUACCACAUUGUCACGACCGACGACGAGCGAACCUACCGACGGCGAGCUUGAGCUUGCAAAACGAAGCUGCGGCUGAAUUUGAAUCAGAGGAGGGAAGAGAGACCGGGACAGGAUAAGAGCGAAUGAGAGAGAGAGACAAACAGGGAGAAGCAAAGAAUAUUCUCUUAAUUGAUCGAUGCCGACCAUGGCGCGGGUCGCCCGCUUAUAAGUGCGGUUCCCUCACUAUUACAAGGCCUGCGGCCCACUCCUGACUACUGGCGCGAUGGCCCAACAACAUGCUUUGAAACACCCCCCACUCGUGACUACUGGCGCGAUGGCCCAACAACAUGCUUUGAAACACCUCGCUCCCGCCAGCCCUUGGUCACUAGCCUUGGCCCAUCGCGUGUAGCUUUGGUAAGCAUAGGCUCAUCUUCAGUGCCUUGGUGCUUACAUAUUACUCCGUAGUACUUAAUCAUCUGAACCGCUGGAAGGCCAGAGGUGCUCCUUGGCUUCUUUUUUCGUCGAUUCGGGGUAGCACUUGUUCCGACCAAAUAGAAAUUUCUUUAUCCUGUCGAUUACAAUAGUUGUUAUUUACCCUUGAUUUUGGCAUGCAAGUUUGAGUACGAUGGAGUGGUUUUUACGUUUUAGUAGUAUCAUUUAUUUGUUUGGCAUGGAAGUUCGGGUUAGGCGGAGUUUGAGAUUCCGUUUGGUAUUGACAGGGCUGUUUCCAAGAAUUUAGAGCCCUGGCGGAAGAAUGCAAAAAUGUCAACCUAUUUUUUAAGCACAUAAAGCACCAAUCAAUCUGAAUGCAAUCUAUCAAUCUAUCUGAAUGCCGUUUAUUAUUUAUCAAUCUCUCCCUAAUAAUAAAGCACUACACUCCCUAAUAAUAAAGCACGUAGUGUUUCUGUCGUCCGUCAUGGCAAUUUUGCAAAAAAACCUCCGUUUUCGAGGAUUCAACCUGCAGUCCUUUUGUAAGUCAAGUCGAACUGUUAUUUUACGUUUUGAACAAAACCCCCUAUAUUUUAUCCGAACUAACCCGCAGUCCCUCUUUUAAGUCACUAUGAACUGUUUUUUUUUCAGUUUUACAUAAAACCCCCUUUCGUACGAUCAAAUUCUAAUCAAGGUAGCCAGUUGACCUGUAGCAUACACCUAAGUUAAAAAAAACAUAUAAAAAAUGUUUUGCAAGGAAUCCUCGCAUGGGCCGGCCCUAGCAUAGGCACCAACUAUACUACGCUCUGUUCGGUGGAAAAUAAACAGCACGCCCAUUUGGGCCAGCCCAUGGGUGGGGCCUGUUUUUUUAGUUUUUCAAUUAUUAUUUAUCUGUUCUUUUUCAUUUUUUCUAUUUCAACUAAAUCAAUAAAAACUUCAGAAAUUCAAAAAAUUAUAUUUACAUAAAUGUUUGAUAAAACAUAAAAUGUUUGCGAAUUCAAAAAUUGUUCGGGAUUUUUGUAAAAAUGUUUGCAUAUUAAAAAAAUCAUAAUUUUGGAGAAAACAUUCGUGAAUCAAAAAAAGUCUAUCAUUUUGAGCAAUUUCUUUAAUGCAAUUAAAAAAAUGUUUGAUAAUUCAAAAUAUGAAUUAUUCGCCAAUUCACAAGCAAAUACUUGAAAAUAGUUCGUAAUAUAAAAUAUUGUUUGGAAUUUUAAAAAAAUGUUUAUAAAUAGUAAAAAAUGUUUUUGAUUUUAAAAAUGUUCCCAAAUUUGUAAAAAUGUUCACGAAUGAUCAAAUGUAUGCAGUUCAACAGUAAUGCUUCUGAGUCUUUCAGAUUAUAUACCUGAGUGGAUUUUGAAGAAUUAAUUGUCAUGGUGGAUCGGAAUAUUAUAGAAUGUUUUAAAAAAUGUUUCUUGAAAUUCAGAAUAAUUCUUUGAGUUACCAAGUUUUUUGACAACCAUGAUAUAUUUUUUUAAAAUAUGAACAUUGUUUCAACUUGUGAAUUGUGAAUAAAAUUAAAAGAAUAAAUAUUUUCUUGCAUUUAUGGACAAAUUUUCGAAAUCAUGCGAUGAGAUAUGAACAUAAUGUGGUCAUCGCCAUUGAAGAUGGUGGUUUUUUUUCUCCCGUUGCAACGCACGGGCCCUUUUGCUAGUCUAUACAAACACAAUACAUCCAUCUAUACGGUACGCAUCCGCAUAUCAUAGAACGCAUUUUAUGAAUUAUACCAGUGAACGCAUUUUAUGCUUGCCACUCAACUGAAUCCUCUAUUAGUAUGCUUGUAGCUUUAUUACAACAGUUUUGGAUCGCUGGAACCCUGGAGGUGCUUCUUGGCUUCUUGUUUUGGUGGAUUCGGGGUAGCACUUGUUCCGACCAAAUAGGAACUUCUUUGUCCUGUCGACUACCGUAGCUGUUAUUUACCCUUGAUUUAGGCAUGCAAAUUUGAGUACCAUGGAGUGGUUUUUAGUAGUAUCAUUUAUUUGUUUGGCAUGGAAGUUCAGGUUAGACGGAGUUUGAGACUCCGUUUGGUAUUGACAGGGCAGUGUCCAGGAAUUUAGAGCCCCGGCGGAAGAAUGCAAAAAUGUCAACCUAUUUUUAAACACGGCAUAAAGCACCAAUCUAUCUGAAUGCAAUCUACAGUAUCAAUCUGAAUGCCGUUUAUUAUUUAUCAAUCUAUCCAAACACAAUCCAUCCAUCUAUACGGGACGCAUCCGCAUAUCAUCGUGGAACGCAUUUUAUGAAUUAUUAUACCAGUGUGAUAUUAUGUACUUACACUGCACCGAAAUCCAAAGAUCAAAAGAGCGUGUUGUAGAUGCCACUCGAAAAUUCAGAAGACGGAAAAGUACUCGAGCAGACCUGGGUGGAGAUCGGGGUCUUGGCCUCUUGGAGAACCAGCCAACUGCAAGUAGGCCUACGGCCUGCACAAGGCCAGCAUGCAGCAUCCAUGGCGACUGGCCAGGAGAAAGGAGGAGGACUGGCCGGAGGAGGACGAGGGCCGGCGCCCGGCGGCGAUGGCUAGGGCCGAUCGAGGACGAGCAGGCGAUUUGGGCGGCGUGCGUGGGGUGGGGAUCGGGGCAUCGGGCGAUGUGUGUGUGUUUGGACGACACAUAAGGCGUGGCUGGGAUCGGCCGAUCGAGGCACGUCAGCUUGGGCCGCGCCACGCGUGUCGGCCCCCCGGACGCACGAG